GCUAGGCAUGGUGAUGUAUGCCUGUAGUCCCAGCUACCUGUGAGGCUGAGGCAGGAGGAUUGCUUAAGACCAGGAGUUUAAGGCUGUAGUCCACCAUGAUCAUGCCUGUGAAUAGCCACUGCAUUCCAGCCUGGGCAACAUAGCAAGACCCUGUCUCUU
Molecule: non-coding RNA, 159 nt
Filed under: Gorilla gorilla gorilla (western lowland gorilla)
Lineage: Eukaryota; Metazoa; Chordata; Mammalia; Primates; Hominidae
Source: Rfam by way of RNAcentral